Molecule: ribosomal RNA, 301 nt
Filed under: uncultured bacterium
Lineage: Bacteria
Description: partial 16S ribosomal RNA
Rfam family: Bacterial small subunit ribosomal RNA
Source: RNAcentral
CAGUCGCCGCGGUAACACCGAGGAUGCAAGCGUUAUCCGGAAUGAUUGGGCGUAAAGCGUCUGUAGGUGGCUCUUCAAGUCCGCCGUCAAAUCCCAGGGCUCAACCCUGGACAGGCGGUGGAAACUACCAAGCUGGAGUACGGUAGGGGCAGAGGGAAAUUCCGGUGGAGCGGUGAAAUGCGUUGAGAUCGGAAAGAACACCAACGGCGAAGGCACUCUGCUGGGCCGACACUGACACUGAGAGACGAAAGCUAGGGGAGCAAAUGGGAUUAGAUACCCCCGUAGUCCCUGUCUCUUAUAU